AUGGUCGGCGUACCCAACAACGUCUUCCCCGGCCCGGCCACCAGCGCGCCCGUGGCUGCCGCGUGGGUCGGCGCCAACAUCAAGGGCCACCCGGCUGUCUCAUUCCGGUACCUCGUCGUCGGGAACGAGGUCGCCGGCAGCGACACACGCUACCUGGUCCCAGCCAUGGAGAACGUCCGUAGCGCGCUUGCUGUGGCCGGCCUGAACGGCGCCAUCAAAGUCACGACGGCGAUAUCGCAGGCCACCAUUGCCGUACACGUCCCACCGUCCGCCGGCGAGUUCACCAACGCGUCCAAGCCGUUCCUGCUCCCCGUGCUGCACUUCCUGAAGCGCAUCCCAUCACCUUCGGCUAGUGAAUUUGAUUGA
This 366-nucleotide ribosomal RNA is filed under the name Triticum aestivum (bread wheat). RNAcentral's name for it is "partial small subunit ribosomal RNA". The record is from RNAcentral. Lineage: Eukaryota; Viridiplantae; Streptophyta; Magnoliopsida; Poales; Poaceae.